GCGGGCGUGGCGAAAUUGGUAGACGCGCUAGAUUUAGGUUCUAGUUUCUUCGGAAGUGGGGGUUCAAGUCCCUUCGCCCGCACCA
RNAcentral lists this transfer RNA (85 nucleotides) under Kordiimonas sp. Its description in RNAcentral is "tRNA-Leu". It matches the Rfam family "tRNA". From Rfam's summary of the family: Transfer RNA (tRNA) molecules are approximately 80 nucleotides in length. Their secondary structure includes four short double-helical elements and three loops (D, anti-codon, and T loops). Lineage: Bacteria; Pseudomonadati; Pseudomonadota; Alphaproteobacteria; Kordiimonadales; Kordiimonadaceae. The record is from RNAcentral. RNAcentral also lists the same sequence under 1 other name.